Long non-coding RNA from Labeo rohita (rohu), 2556 nucleotides. RefSeq lists it as uncharacterized. NCBI's taxonomy places the organism in Eukaryota, Metazoa, Chordata, Actinopteri, Cypriniformes, Cyprinidae. The record is from RefSeq and is a predicted model, not a curated record. The transcript has 4 exons.
GCGAUAUUUGCCAUCAGUUUACGUGGCCACAGGUUGGCUGAGAAGACCUAAAGGAAGCAGUCAGCCCAGUCUUGUUUGUGGAGAGGUCUUCAUUUAGAAACAGAGAAGACAGAAAGCUGCGGAGGGAGACAUUUGCAGUGGCAGGUCUCUAAAAUAUCUAAACAACAGCUUACAAACCCUCACAAACCUUCCUAAAAGCUAAAAGAACUCAGCGAGUCUUGCCAUGAUUAGCCCUUCCCAGAAGAGAAGGAAGACCAAGGAAGUCCUUUGUUCAGGGUGAGGAAUAAAUAUAUGGCCAUCUUGCGCCCAAACAAAGAAGACAGCAAAGUGUGCAUGUCCACUGGUAUGUCAGGGUUCCCGCGGGUCCUUAAAAAGUCUUAAAAAGUCUUAAAUUUAGUUUAUCAAAUUUAAGGUCAUAAAAAGUCUUAAACUGUACAAGAAAGUCUUAAUUAUGAUUAAGAGGUCUUAAAUUUUAGGCAUGGGAAGACCAGAAUUGCGAUACAGCUUAGUGUCACGAUUAAACUUCAAAAAACUAUGAUUUCAUUAAAUAAACAUGAGUGCUGCAUGUUCAAAGUCCGGUGCUGAGCUGCUUUGUGUACUCUGGUUACCAGGGAAACACAUGUCUGCAGUUCCGAAUGCGCCAUCUGCUGCCAGAGAUUGAAUGUGCACUUUCAAUAAGUCUGUUGUUUUGAGUAGGGUAUUCUUACAAUACAGGAGGCUGUAGUUUCAGGACCGCAUUUCUACAGGGUGGGCCAUUUAUAUGGAUACAUCACACAUCAGACUUAUUGGGAAUUUCACAAGAAAAACAAUGGUGUGCUUGGUUUUAACGUAACUUUAUUCUUUCAUGAGUUAUUUACAAGUUUCUGACCACUUAUAAUGUGCCACAAACAGGACGUUAAUAUCACCAACCAUUCCCAUUUUAUUAAGGUGUAUCCAUAUAAAUGGCCCACCCUGUAGGACCCUGUAAUUUUUAUUGUAUUGUAUUGUAUUGUAUUGUAUUUAUUUAUUUGUCAUAUGUAUGCAUUAACAGCUCAUACCAUUUAUAGCAGUUGUUAUUCAAUUCUGUAUAUUAUUAUUGUUAAGAAAAUACUGAAUGUAGUUGUUUAAUUGUAUACACUUAAUUAUUAUCCUAGCCAACUCCUAAUCCUAAACUUACCCCUGGGUAACCCUCUUGAAAUAUUUAACCUAAUUUAUUUCAAUAUGUUCUAGACUUCAGUUCAUUAGCUGCUGCGCUUCAUGUCUGACGUGUGACCCACUUAACAAAGUGAAGUAAACAGUAAAACAAUUGCCAUACAAAUUAAUGUGUUUAUUAGUACUUUAAUAAAUUUAAAAUAAUUUGAAUACAAAUACUAAUUUACAACAUCCAGCAGCACAAUGAACUGUUUUGGACAGUUAAAUGGGCUAAAUGGAGAUUGCAGACACCCCCUUGAGCACUCAACUUUAUGUCAGCUUUUACAUUAAAAAUAAGAUGGAAAGAUAAAAAAAAAAUUAAUAGUUUCAAUGGAUCUAGUCUUUGCGUCUGUUUGAUGUUACUUUGUUGGAAUGGAAUUGCUAGAUGGCACUGUCCCAAAAAAUAGGGUCCCAGAAAUGUGGUUUUGCAGGAACAUAGUAUUGGGGUUGUUUUUGUUCAGACCAAAGCGAAAAGCGACCCAUAUUUUUACCCUGCAAACAUGCAGAGCUGUAAAUGUGAACUGGUGAAUCAUUAAGAAGAUAAUUCAUCAUAAAAAUCUAAACACUAACAUGUAUUUGUAUGUUUUUUUAAAUUGAUAUAAUAAUUUAUUGAUAAUAAUUAUUUCAAUUAAUAUAAGUAAUACUUUUGACUCAUCUAUUUUCUUAGAAAUGUGAAAUGUAUCACUUUAUAAACCUUUUGUUUUUGUAAAAAAUCUGAACAGUAAAUCAGUUUUUACAGUAGUUUACAGUCAUUUUACAGUUUAAUAUUUAACCAUAGACAUUGCCUUACCCUGCUCAUAUGGUAUUAAUUUUAUUUGUGCAGGUCUUAAAAAAGGUCUUAAAGUCUUAAAUUUGAGCUUAAAAAUCCUGCAGGAACCCUGUAUGUCUGUACUGAAGCAGUGCUGUAUUAUGUAGUACAGCGUUUUAUGAUGAUCUCUCACAGGACUGUUCAUGUCAGCAGUGAUUAUUCUUUUUUGUAAUAAUUUGUAAUUUUAUUUAUUUAUUUACUUAUACUGGGUACAACUUACAAUUAUAGCAUGUUAGCAAAGUGUGACUGGAACAUUUUUUAUCUUAAGUUUUUAAAAACAACACCAACUGUUUUUCAGCACUGUUAUAAAAGUGGUUUAGUUGAUGUUGAUAAUCAUUAUUUUCUCAAACAGUAUCAAAUGUCUUAUAUGUACCACAUGAUCUGUAUCAAAGUUGACUGGAAUGGAUUGUGUGACUUUAAGAACAUUUCAUCACUCAUUUGUGUGUCUUCAGCUGCAGUGAACUGAUAAAUAUAUGAUGUUAAUGUAUUUUUAAUAAUCCAUUAUUAUUUUAAUUAUUUUAAUAAUCCAUAUUUUUUCUUAAAUGUCAUUUGUCUUGAUGCUACUUUAUUAACUUUAU